ACUCCUACGGGAGGCAGCAGUGGGAAUAUUGGACAAUGGGCGCAAGCCUGAUCCAGCCAUGCCGCGUGUGUGAAGAAGGCCUUCGGGUUGUAAAGCACUUUCAGCGAGGAGGAAGGGUGUUGUGUUAAUAGCACAGCAUUUUGACGUUACUCGCAGAAGAAGCACCGGCUAACUCCGUGCCAGCAGCCGCGGUAAUACGAAGGGGGCUAGCGUUGUUCGGAAUUACUGGGCGUAAAGGGCGUGUAGGCGGUCUGAUCAGUCAGAGGUGAAAGCCCUGGGCUCAACCUAGGAAUUGCCUUUGAUACUGUCAGACUAGAGUUCGGGAGAGGGUAGUGGAAUUCCCAGUGUAGAGGUGAAAUUCGUAGAUAUUGGGAAGAACACCAGUGGCGAAGGCGGCUACCUGGACCGAUACUGACGCUGAGGCGCGAAAGCGUGGGGAGCAAACAGGAUUAGAUACCCUGGUAGGCUCU
Molecule: ribosomal RNA, 470 nt
Filed under: uncultured bacterium
Lineage: Bacteria
Description: bacterial SSU rRNA
Rfam family: Bacterial small subunit ribosomal RNA
Source: RNAcentral